This 497-nucleotide ribosomal RNA is filed under the name uncultured bacterium. RNAcentral's name for it is "partial 16S ribosomal RNA". It matches the Rfam family "Bacterial small subunit ribosomal RNA", at positions 28 to 507 of the family's 1533-position model. The record is from RNAcentral.
GAUGAACGCUGGCGGCGUGCCUAAUACAUGCAAGUCGAGCGAACAGACGAGGAGCUUGCUCCUCUGACGUUAGCGGCGGACGGGUGAGUAACACGUGGAUAACCUACCUAUAAGACUGGGAUAACUUCGGGAAACCGGAGCUAAUACCGGAUAAUAUAUUUAACCGCAUGGUUCAAUAGUGAAAGACGGUUUUGCUGUCACUUAUAGAUGGAUCCGCGCCGCAUUAGCUAGUUGGUAAGGUAACGGCUUACCAAGGCAACGAUGCGUAGCCGACCUGAGAGGGUGAUCGGCCACACUGGAACUGAGACACGGUCCAGACUCCUACGGGAGGCAGCAGUAGGGAAUCUUCCGCAAUGGGCGAAAGCCUGACGGAGCAACGCCGCGUGAGUGAUGAAGGUCUUCUGAUCGUAAAACUCUGUUAUUAGGGAAGAACAAAUGUGUAAGUAACUAUGCACGUCUUGACGGUACCUAAUCAGAAAGCCACGGCUAACUACGUG